CCAACAAAGAGGCAUUCUAGGGCAGUUCCAACUGUACCUAAGACGAGCCGCUGAGCUAUGGUAUCAUCCGGCCAGGGGGAGGACAACAGCCACAAAGGCAGACAAGGCUAAGGGGAGGUGACAGCGACACAAAGGCACCGUAAACAUCCAGAGAAUGCUGUUUAUGAAGUUUGAAAGCUCACACCCUCUCAAAAGGAAACAUGGUAGUGCAAGAUCAGAAGAUGUGGAGAGACCUGGCGCAUAAAAUCAUCAAGAGUCAAGACUCAAGACAUGACUGAAUGGACAUCAUCAUGAUCAUCAUUGCAGACAUGUGAACAUCUGCCUCGCUUAUUGCUCAUUUUCUUCCAGCCAUGGCUGGCUUAAGUGAUAUAAAAGAAGCUUGUCAUUCUCCAUGGUCCCUGGAAUUACUUGAUGGUCUCCCUUUCAAAUACUAACCAGGACAAGAAGCAACGGAUGGAAACUAAUCAAGGAGAGAAGCAACCUAGAAC
Molecule: long non-coding RNA, 488 nt
Organism: Crotalus tigris (Tiger rattlesnake)
Lineage: Eukaryota; Metazoa; Chordata; Lepidosauria; Squamata; Viperidae
Exons: 5
Source: RefSeq, a predicted model, not a curated record